Small nucleolar RNA from Nycticebus coucang (slow loris), 102 nucleotides. RefSeq annotates it as small nucleolar RNA U13. NCBI's taxonomy places the organism in Eukaryota, Metazoa, Chordata, Mammalia, Primates, Lorisidae. The record is from RefSeq and is a predicted model, not a curated record. The transcript has a single exon.
AUCCUUUUGUAGUUCAUAAGCAAGAUGAUUGUGUUUUCACAAACGUGUGAGAUAUGCUUCCCUCAAACCCUGUUACAAUGACUGUGUGCUCUCUACAUAAAA